RNAcentral lists this transfer RNA (72 nucleotides) under Aedes aegypti (yellow fever mosquito). RNAcentral's name for it is "partial tRNA-OTHER". The record is from RNAcentral. Lineage: Eukaryota; Metazoa; Arthropoda; Insecta; Diptera; Culicidae.
GUACUCGGCUUGGAUUCUAACCCAGCACUCUUGUAUGAUAGACGAGCGCUUUACCAACUAACCUACCGAGCC